RNAcentral lists this ribosomal RNA (721 nucleotides) under Priestia aryabhattai. RNAcentral describes it as "bacterial LSU rRNA". It matches the Rfam family "Bacterial large subunit ribosomal RNA", at positions 17 to 735 of the family's 2925-position model. Lineage: Bacteria; Bacillati; Bacillota; Bacilli; Caryophanales; Bacillaceae. The record is from RNAcentral.
GCGGAGGGUGAAUGCCUUGGCACUAGGAGCCGAUGAAGGACGGGACUAACACCGAUAUGCUUCGGGAGCGGGAUAGUGAGCUUUGAUCCGGAGAUUACCGAAUGGGGAAACCCACUGUUCGUAAUGGAACAGGAUCUUUAUCUGAAUACAUAGGAAAAAGAACGCAGACCCCGGGUAGUGAAACAUCUAAGAUCCGGGAGGUAGCGAACGCACUUGCCAUACCCUGAGUAGCGGCGAGCGAAACGGAAUUAGCCCAAACCAAGAGGCUUGCCUCUUGGGGUUGUAGGACACUCUAUACGGAGUUACAAAGGAACGAAGUAAAUGAAGCGACCUGGAAAGGUCCGUCAAAGAAGGUAACAACCCUGUAGUUGAAACUUCGUUCCCUCUUGAGUGGAUCCUGAGUACGGCGGAACACGUGAAAUUCCGUCGGAAGCUGGGAGGACCAUCUCCCAAGGCUAAAUACUACCUAGUGACCGAUAGUGAACCAGUACCGUGAGGGAAAGGUGAAAAGCACCCCGGAAGGGGAGUGAAAGAGAUCCUGAAACCGUGUGCCUACAAGUAGUCAGAGCCCGUUAAUGGGUGAUGGCGUGCCUUUUGUAGAAUGAACCGGCGAGUUACGAUCCCAUGCAAGGUUAAGCUGAUAAGGCGGAGCCGUAGCGAAAGCGAGUCUGAAUAGGGCGUUUAGUAUGUGGUUGUAGACCCGAAACCAGGUGAUCUACCC